CAUAUAUUUAGAUGUUCUGCACAUUACAAAAAUAAACAUGGUUAUUAUCUACCUCAUCUGGGGAACAUGCCACAAAGAGAAGAAGAUCAUCAAUUCCAUUAGUGUGGAGAUUCCUGUAGUACUGAAAAAGAUGCAACAAAAUGCCAGGAAAUUUUCUGCUGGUCAGGAAUGAAGAAAUUUAAAAUAAAAAAAGAAAAUUGCAGUCAGAAGGGGAAAAUAUGGUCAACUUGCAGUGAAACCCUACUCUGCAGCAACUUUUGUGACUGACCACCUGGCCUGCAAGUGACCAUUUUGUACAAAUACAAAAUGUAUUCCUUUGAAAUCACACACUACAGUGAGUCCUGUGGUCAACAGGCUAUGACCCUAAGUCUGAAAGAUCUGGGUUUAACAGGCUAGGACCCAAAGUUGGAAGUCCUGUGGUCAACAGGCUAUAACCUUAAGUCUGAAAGGUCUGGGUUUAACAGGCUAGGACCCAAAGUUUGGAAGUUCUGUGGUCAACAGGCUAUGACCCAAAGUCCAAAAGUUCUGGAUUCAACAAGCUAGGACACACAGCCUAAUUGUUCUUUGGUCUCACUGGCACAGGGAGUCUUCUUCUAGCCUGUCAUCCCAUUCCUAGAAAAAAUAACAAUUCAUAAAGUCACAAACAACAAAAGAAGGCAAAGCAUUUAUAUGCAUCUCAAAGUGGAGAGGUA
Pocillopora verrucosa is the source of this 692-nucleotide non-coding RNA. Lineage: Eukaryota; Metazoa; Cnidaria; Anthozoa; Scleractinia; Pocilloporidae. The record is from RefSeq and is a predicted model, not a curated record.